AGCUUUUUGAAUCCGUGCUGAGAUUUCGUCAGGUACCAACCCAUUAUGGCUGAUUAGACUUCCAAGAUAAGUGAAGUU
Non-coding RNA from Schistosoma haematobium, 78 nucleotides. Lineage: Eukaryota; Metazoa; Platyhelminthes; Trematoda; Strigeidida; Schistosomatidae. The record is from Rfam.